Molecule: ribosomal RNA, 301 nt
Filed under: uncultured bacterium
Lineage: Bacteria
Description: bacterial SSU rRNA
Rfam family: Bacterial small subunit ribosomal RNA
Source: RNAcentral
CCCUAAGGCUUGGACAGAGGGGGCGGGAAGCCAGAGGCCCCAAGCGUUACCCGGAGUUACUGGGCGUAAAGAGUGGUUAGGUGGGCGUAUUAGGCGUCUGUUAAAACCCAGAGCUCAACUCUGGAAUCGCGGGCGAAACGGUACGACUCGAGGGCGUCAGAGGUCUGUGGAACUCUAGGUGUAGGGGUGAAAUCCGUUGAUAUCUAGGGGAACACCGAAAGCGAAGGCAGCAGACUGGGGCGUUCCUGACACUCAAGCACGAAAGCGUGGGUAGCGAACGGGAUUAGAUACCCCGGUAGUC